RNAcentral lists this long non-coding RNA (431 nucleotides) under Marmota monax (woodchuck). Lineage: Eukaryota; Metazoa; Chordata; Mammalia; Rodentia; Sciuridae. The record is from RNAcentral.
CAGAAAACAGGAAACAGCUCUACUCUGAGCAGACUGGGGGAACAAAAAGCAGUGACCCUGUCAUAGUGCUCCAGGCAAAUGUGACACACAGUCACCCCCAUUAUCUGCUCUUCUCCCCCAGGGGAGGAGAUGGGAAAGAUUCUCUCUAAUCCAUGCCCACGUGCACUCAGGAGUGCAAGCUUCCCCUCUGAAGAAAUGUGAGGAGAGGCACUGAACUACAACAGCCAGCUUAAACUGGACCCUAAACCUUUCCCUCUUCUCCCUACUGUAGACUGAAUUGUGUCCUCAUGCCCUUCAGAUAUACAUGUUGAAGGCUUAGCCCUCGGUGGGAGGGAUUUGGAGAAGGAGUCUUUGGAAGGAUCAGGGUUAGAUGAUGCAUGAGGAUGGAGCCCUCAUGCUGGAUAGCUGCUUUUACUAGAAGAGACACCAGA